RNAcentral lists this ribosomal RNA (253 nucleotides) under uncultured bacterium. RNAcentral describes it as "partial 16S ribosomal RNA". It matches the Rfam family "Bacterial small subunit ribosomal RNA", at positions 524 to 776 of the family's 1533-position model. The record is from RNAcentral.
UACGGAGGGGACUAGCGUUGUUCGGAAUUACUGGGCGUAAAGCGCGCGUAGGCGGAUUUGCAAGUCGGGUGUGAAAUCCCCAGGCUUAACCUGGGAACUGCAUUCGAGACUGCAUUGCUAGAGUAUGGGAGAGGGAAGUGGAAUUUCCGGUGUAGCGGUGAAAUGCGUAGAUAUCGGAAGGAACACCAGAGGCGAAGGCGGCUACCUGGACAAUUGCUGACGCUCAGGCACGAAAGCGUGGGGAGCAAAAGGG